Molecule: long non-coding RNA, 3789 nt
Filed under: Homo sapiens (human)
Lineage: Eukaryota; Metazoa; Chordata; Mammalia; Primates; Hominidae
Description: long independently transcribed non-coding RNA 2278 (LINC02278)
Source: RNAcentral
AAGCGUCUUUGCCUCCAACUCUGUGGUAGGCUGGGAAUUAUGCCUGCGCACUCAAAUCCACUCUAUUUCAAUAAUUUUUCAGCUAAGGGGGCUCAACUGAGCAUCGUGACAAUGGAACAAGUAGAUGCUACUCUCAGUGUCCACUAAACCAUAAGUCCUUUGAGGAUACAGGAAGACAUCCACCAAUCUCAAGAUCAAAAUGUGAUAAGAGGAAGUCUGCAAGCAAAGAAGAUGUUACCCACCACCACCUCUUACAGAAAUGGCAGAAUCUCUGGGAAUAAUGGUUUUCACAAAGAAAGCAUUCCUAAUCACUCAGGGGGAACUAGGUCACCACCACAAAUUGUCCUCCAGUUAAAAGCAUGAACUCUUCUGGACACGAAUUCUCUUCUGAGUGUGAGGAUGCCAUGACUGUGAUACAGGGUAAAGUGGGAUGGAGUGCUUAAUCCCCAAGAAAGUCCAUCAGGAAUAGGAGAAGGCCAGUUUAAGAGCAUUUAAUGUUGUCCAACAAGUCCAACUGAAAUCGGGAGUGGUUAAUCCUCAUAAAUAUAAUAUCUAUCAUUAGUUAUUCAGGAAAUAUGGGAAGUCAGUACCAAGUCAGAUGGUCCAAAACACGCAAGUCAAUUAAGCAGCCUGAAAGAGGUGACACGAGGCAUGAGUGAUGCCCAAAGAAGGUGACACGCCCAGUGUAGCUGGUUACAAAGCAAGCCUCCUGAUAGCUGGAUGUGUUUUGAAAUACUUGUAAAGUCCUUGGUAAGCAUCUCCUAUUCUUGUGAUAAAUAAACACUACCAAGGAAAAAGUACUAAACCACUCAACUGAAGUUUGAAUUGAUAAAGAAUGGUAAUGUGCACAAUACUGAAUGACCUUGGAGCCUCUUUGAUCUGUGCGUUUCUAUAUUCAGCUCAAGGUCCCAUUGAAACCAAGGAGUUUAUGUUUGGGCCAAUAAAUAGAGCUAAUAAAAGUUCACCCUUGGACUGGGACUCUUUGAAUGGCUGGAACAUGGGUCAUUUAUGGUGUUUGAUGACUGUGAAUGCCAACAAAACUACUACUGAGUAUAUAUGGCUUCUUUUACACCCUAGAUGAGAAAAGCCUGCCUGUAGCAUGUAGGAGAGUAAAAAAGAGAAUAAGCAACCUGAUGCCACAUAUUGAAAUUUCAUUUGACAAAUAUGCAUUGAAUAUCUACUAUGUGGCAGACAGCCUUCAAGCAGGAGGGAUACACAGAUGAACCAAAUGUAGGCCCUGCCUGUGAGACUCCAGACUGGACAGAAUGCACUUAAGUCCACAUAGCAGUAAUACACGUCGGACUGUGAGGAUGGCUGAGCAGAAGGAAGAGCAAGGAAUUCUCUAUGGGAAGACUCUGGAAGGCUUUAACAAGGAUGUGCUCUUUAGCUGAACCUUAAAGCAUGAGUGAAAAAAAAGAGCAGAAAAAGGUGGUGUUUUGAGCAGAGAACAGACACUGAGCAAGAAGCAGAAGAGCAGAGGAGCCGAGAAAGCUGGACAGAGUUCUAGAAAUGUGGCAUGGAAGGAAUGAAAGGUCUGAGGAGGGAAAGGAGGUCAGGACCAACUACGAAUGGUCUGGAAUGACUUGCUACACGUGGAUUUGACUUUAUUUGUAGGCCGGGGGGUUGUAGAGGUUUUAUAUUUUUAUACAUUUAUUUUUUAAUUUUCAUAUUUCAACAGAGCUUGUUUCAAGUAAUUCUUAUGUAAAACAUGAAUGUAUACAACAAAAACAAGCGGGUGAUGUUUCAUUAGUACAAACGUGCUUUUAUAAUCUUAACUUUAUUAAGCUUGCUUAUUCUUAAGUUAACCAAUGAGAACAAUUCUAAUCGUCUGCACAUGAGUCAAGAUUUUGCACUCUGUGCAAGUGACUGAAAACUCAAUUCAAACUAACUCAGGAAAAAAAAAAGUGGGGGAAGGGAGGAAGAAGAUUUAUUACCCAUAUAAAUCCAGGAGGGGUUCUGGGAUUCAGGAAUCAGUUGAUUGUGGGGCUGAAAGAAUAUUAUCAAAGCUUCAGCUGAUUUCUCAGCUCCAUGUCCCCUCUAUAGUAGCUGCUUCAUUCUCAACAUGAGCAUCCUUGGUAGUCCCCAGGAACGCUGGGCUUAGAAUCACCUUUACAAGCGGCAAUCUUCCUUUCCUACCAAAGCCCACCACAGUCCCAGAACUAAGCCUCAGCGACCUGGCCCGCCUCACAUGUCCAUCCCUGAACCUGUGGCCAACACAAUGGUGUAUCCCAAAUGAGCAUGGUGGGUCCUGCAUACAUCCAGGUCUCGAAGGAAAAUCGAGCUGCUGUCACCGGAAGGAGGAUGCACAGGAAAAAAAAAACACAGUUUAUUCUAUUUUGACCAAUGUGAAAAUUUUAAAUUUAGGAUAAGGGAUUGCAGGUUUAUACCAGUUUUAACACUCACUUUGUUUCUGUAUUUUAUUUGCACAGUAUUGAGAAAAUUCUGAUUCAUUACUGGUAACUGUUUUUUAAAUAGCAUACCUGUUUAAAUUACACCUGGAACAUUCAAAAUAGUCUUAAAUUAAACUUGUGCCAAAGUGUAAGUAGGUUGAAAGUCUGAGCAAUGGGAAGUUUUAUUUCAAAGUUUAAUUCUACAAACAAUCUCCUCUGUUAAUUUAAGUGUUCACUGGGAAGAUGUUUCUCAAAUGUAUCUAUAAUAUCUAACAAGAAAUUCAACAAUGUUACUUAUUUUUUAAACUUAGUAUCUCAGUAACUAUUGCUCAAAGCUUGAGUGUGAUAAAAUUAAUGUUUUGCUCUUUGAGUCAUAAAGUUAGGUUUCAACUUAAUUGCUGGCAUGCUAUCAGCAAAUGUAAGCAUGGUGAUAUUGCAACUUCACAUUGCCAAACUGAACUCAUUCAGUUUCUUGAAAAACAUCAGCAAGUUUAUGCAACUCUGUUAUAUCAGAGAACUAUUUGCUAAGUCUCAUUUGGGAUACAAUAUUUAGUGAUUUCUUGUCUCAUUUGAAAGAGUAAUAACAACACCUUGCCUCAAGACAGUUGGUAAGUGUACUUUCCCAGGAGAAAGUACACUGUGGAACCCACAACCCAAUACAUUCCCAAAAACUAUAAAAAGGCUGAAAUUGGAAUCUCCUGUCUCAUUAAACUGACAAUGUAAAGGAAAUCGCUAAUCACUGUUUUUGCUUUUGUUUUUUGAGACGGAGUCUCGCUCUGUAGCCCAGGCUGGAGUGCAGUGGCGCAAUCUCGCUCACUUGCAAGCUCCGCCUCCCGGGUUCACGCCAUUCUCCUGCCUCAGCCUCCCCAGCAGCUGGGACUAUAGGCGCACACCACCACGCCCGGCUAAUUUUUUGUAUUUUUAGUAGAGAUGGGGUUUCACCGUGUUAGCCAGGACCGUCUCCAUCUCCUGACUUUGUGAUCCUCCCGACUCGGCCUCCCAAAGUGUUGGGAUUACAGGCGUGAGCCACCGCGCCCAGCCUAAUCACUGUUUUAAGAGAUGCUCAUGUCACCUUAAUAGCAAGUGCUUUUCUGUGCAACUUGCCAUGUCUUAUUCAAAAUCACAUUUCACCAAGAAAAUUCCUCAGCACUUUGCACCACUUCAUCCCAUUCUGCAUAGCCUUAUUUUCCUAAUUGGGCUAACAUGACUCUUUUCUUAGCCUGAGAGCCCUGCAAGGGCUGGAACUCUCUUAUUAUGUGCUUUCUCUCCAUUGAGCUUACUAAUGUAUACUCAGAGCUUAGACUGUAAAUGUUUGGUGAAUAAAUUAUGUAUGUAUGUAUGUAUGUAUGUAUAUUUAAUGUGUUUUAUUUACAAAAAAAAUUAAAGGAAAAUUUUCACC